CAGCAGCCACGGGAAUACGGAGGGUGCAAGCGUUAAUCGGAAUUACUGGGCGUAAAGCGCACGCAGGCGGUCUGACAAGUCAGAUGUGAAAUCCCCGGGCUUAACCUGGGAACUGCAUUUGAAACUGUCAGGCUGGAGUCUUGUAGAGGGGGGUAGAAUUCCAGGUGUAGCGGUGAAAUGCGUAGAGAUCUGGAGGAAUACCGGUGGCGAAGGCGGCCCCCUGGACAAAGACUGACGCUCAGGUGCGAAAGCGUGGGGAGCAAACAGGAUUAGAGACCCGAGUAGUCCCUGUCUCUUAUAC
This 301-nucleotide ribosomal RNA is filed under the name uncultured bacterium. Its description in RNAcentral is "partial 16S ribosomal RNA". It matches the Rfam family "Bacterial small subunit ribosomal RNA", at positions 509 to 807 of the family's 1533-position model. The record is from RNAcentral.